CCUGUGUCCUUGUGUUGCCAGCAUGCCCUUCGGGGUGAUGGGGACUCACAGGAGACCGCCGGGGUCAACUCGGAGGAAGGUGGGGACGACGUCAAGUCAUCAUGCCCCUUAUGUCUUGGGCUGCACACGUGCUACAAUGGCAGGUACAAUGAGCUGCGAAACCGUGAGGUGGAGCGAAUCUCAAAAAGCCUGUCUCAGUUCGGAUUGGGGUCUGCAACUCGACCCCAUGAAGUCGGAGUUGCUAGUAAUCGCAGAUCAGCAUUGCUGCGGUGAAUACGUUCCCGGGCCUUGUACACACCGCCCGUCACGUCACGAAAGUCGGUAACACCCGAAGCCGGUGGCCCAACCCCUUGUGGGAGGGAGCUGUCGAAGGUGGGACCAGCGAUUGGGACGAAGUCGUAACAAGGUAGCCGUACCGGAAGUG
RNAcentral lists this ribosomal RNA (424 nucleotides) under Streptomyces sp. 1022. RNAcentral's name for it is "bacterial SSU rRNA". It matches the Rfam family "Bacterial small subunit ribosomal RNA", at positions 1098 to 1514 of the family's 1533-position model. The record is from RNAcentral. Lineage: Bacteria; Bacillati; Actinomycetota; Actinomycetes; Kitasatosporales; Streptomycetaceae.